Molecule: ribosomal RNA, 254 nt
Filed under: uncultured bacterium
Lineage: Bacteria
Description: partial 16S ribosomal RNA
Rfam family: Bacterial small subunit ribosomal RNA
Source: RNAcentral
UACGGAGGGUGCGAGCGUUGUCCGGAAUCAUUGGGCGUAAAGGGCGCGUAGGUGGCCCGGUCAGUUCGUGGUGAAAGCGCGGGGCUCAACCCUGCGUCGGCCAUGAAUACUGCCGCGGCUGGAGCACUGUAGAGGCAGGCGGAAUUCCGGGUGUAGCGGUGGAAUGCGUAGAGAUCCGGAAGAACACCGGUGGCGAAGGCGGCCUGCUGGGCAGUUGCUGACACUGAGGCGCGAAAGCCAGGGGAGCAAACAGG